AGACUGAUACAAUCUUAUGGAUGUACUCCAGUAGAUAAAUCCACUUGAUUGUCUUGUCCUCCAUGUAGGCCUUCCAGUACACCUCCUCAAGGUUCAUCGAAUCGACUCCGAGGAUCGAGUCGAUACCGUGAAUGAACUGGCGGUUUCUUACUUCCUCAUUGCAGCUUACAUCGAAAUUCAACUGGCGCAAGUACUGUGAAUGGCCAGACAGUAUGAUCUGGCUAGCUAUCUCAUUUAGGCCAUGGAGGGAUUCAUGUCUGAUAAGGCUGAAGCUGUCAUAAUCGAACAUGGGCAUCGCAUUUUCGAAGAAUUGGUGGUCUAGAUUUUCUGGAUCAAGCCCAUUGUCGGUCAUGGUUUGCGAGUCGGUGAGGAAGGAAGAAGAUGUGACGCUGCUGCGGUCAUCAUGGUGCCAAGGAGGAAUGAAGCUGAACCAAGGAAAUUGGAGGGCGUGAAGGAGCGGACGGGAGUAUGCAUACGUGAUGCGGAAGCACAAACUGGAUUACAUACAGGCUAGGGGUGGGGCCAUGGAGAUUAGCAUGUGAUUUGAUCUGAUGGAUCAAAAUAACAGGCCCGCCGAAUUAAAUGAAAACUGAAGGCUAGAUGUUUUACUUUAUUCUUACAAUUUAUAGCAAUUUCUUUAAUAUAUUAGAGUGCCACGAGGCGUUAUAGGAGUAUUUGUAGGAGUACCACGUGGCGGCUUAAGAGCGUUUGUAGGAUGUUUAAUGGACUUUUAUAGUAUAUAAUAGAUAAAGAUUUGGCA
This is a non-coding RNA of Oryza sativa Japonica Group (Japanese rice), 760 nucleotides long. Lineage: Eukaryota; Viridiplantae; Streptophyta; Magnoliopsida; Poales; Poaceae. The record is from RefSeq and is a predicted model, not a curated record.